AGCGACCGGGCUACACAGGUGAUGAAGGGGGGAACUGCAUCCUGGGAUCCGCAGUUUCGCCUGUCCACCCGCCAAAUCCUAAGAGUGGCUGAGCGCAGUUAUUGGGGAGUGGUAGAAACAGGGUUUCACCAUGUUGGCCAUGCUGGUCUCGAACUCCAGAACUCAAGUGAUCCGUCCGCCUCGGUCUUCCAAACUGCUGGGAUUACAGGCGUGAGCCACCGCGCCCAGCCUUUGGGGAAGUUCUUUUUACCGUCCAUCAUCCAUUGCCACCACACCUUCUGCUUACGAGUUAUUUAUAAUAAGUUUAACUAAAAGAGAACGAGAGAACAUCCCCUGAAACCCAAAGUUUGUCAUUCUAUACAGCUUUCCUGCCUGCAAAAGAGGAGGAGCAGACUCAUCCAGCAAAUCACCUAAAAAGUUUGAAGAUCAAAAAGCCUAGCUCCAGUUUCAGAUCCUUCCCCUACCUUUCUGAACACUAGUUUCUUCCUCUGAAAAACGAAAGAGGGAACGGGACCGUAGAGUGGAGUGGGCACAAGAAUCGCAAGUCCCUUCUGGCUAUGACGCUGCAAGACUCUAGGUACAGUUUAGGACUCCGGGCAUUCAGAUCCCCGGGACUUGUCAAGUUCUCCUCAUUGACAUUUUUGAUAUUUCGUGACAACACAAAUUCAUCACAUUUUUGUGCUGUGUGUUAUAUGUGGGAAGGAGAUUUUAAAAAGAUUGCCUUUUGAAGUUAUUGGAUAGCUGUGUUACAGAAGAAAACAUUGCCUUCAAGAAGUUAUUGGAUAGAUAUGUUACAGAAGAAAAGACGUUUGUUUCAUUUUUGACUUUGCAGGAAAAGAAUAUGUAACACAUCAGAAUUCUUCUCUCCUCCCUGGCCUUAGUCGAGUACCUGAGGGGCAUUAAAGCACUUCCUCCUUGCAAUCACUUACCCAGCAUAGUCCUUAAUACAGAUAUCUUCAUUGUUGAAUGAAUG
This 973-nucleotide long non-coding RNA is filed under the name Homo sapiens (human). RNAcentral's name for it is "non-protein coding C9orf135-DT:19". Lineage: Eukaryota; Metazoa; Chordata; Mammalia; Primates; Hominidae. The record is from RNAcentral.